This 492-nucleotide ribosomal RNA is filed under the name uncultured bacterium. RNAcentral's name for it is "bacterial SSU rRNA". It matches the Rfam family "Bacterial small subunit ribosomal RNA", at positions 33 to 535 of the family's 1533-position model. The record is from RNAcentral.
GACGCUGGCGGCGUGCUUAACACAUGCAAGUCGAACGGUGAACCAGAGCUUGCUCUGGGGAUCAGUGGCGAACGGGUGAGUAACACGUGGGCAACCUGCCCCAGACUCUGGGAUAACCUCGGGAAACCGAUGCUAAUACCGGAUACGACCACUUCGGACAUCCGACGGUGGUGGAAAGUUUUUCGGUCUGGGGAUGGGGCCCGCGGCCUAUCAGCUAGUUGGUGGGGUAAUGGCCUACCAAGGCGACGACGGGUAGCCGGCCUGAGAGGGCGACCGGCCACACUGGAACUGAGACACGGUCCAGACUCCUACGGGAGGCAGCAGUGGGGAAUAUUGCACAAUGGGCGAAAGCCUGAUGCAGCGACGCCGCGUGAGGGACGACGGCCUUCGGGUUGUAAACCUCUUUCAGCAGGGACGAAGCGAAAGUGACUGUACCUGCAGAAGAAGCACCGGCUAACUACGUGCCAGCAGCCGCGGUAAUACGUAGGGUGC